Molecule: ribosomal RNA, 1927 nt
Filed under: human gut metagenome
Description: bacterial LSU rRNA
Rfam family: Bacterial large subunit ribosomal RNA
Source: RNAcentral
UCAAGUGACUAAGUGCAUGUGGCGGAUGCCUUGGCGAUCACAGGCGAAGAAAGACGCGGCAGCCUGCGAAAAGCUGCGGGGAGCUGGCAAACGAGCUUUGAUCCGCAGAUAUCUGAAUGGGGGAACCCACACCGCAAGGUGUAUCCGUGACUGAAUACAUAGGUUACGGAGGCGAACGAGGAGAACUGAAACAUCUAAGUAUCCUCAGGAAAAGAAAUCAACCGAGAUUCCGGCAGUAGCGGCGAGCGAACCCGGAGGAGCCUAGCUUUUGAUAGUACGAACUUUAGCCGAAAGGUCCUGGAAAGGCCUGCUAUAGUGGGUGAUAGCCCCGUAGGCGAAAGAGUUCGUAUGGUACUAAGGAAGCGAGAAGUAGAGCGGGACACGUGGAAUCCUGUUCGAAGACGGGGGGACCAUCCUCCAAGGCUAAAUACUCGUGAUCGACCGAUAGUGAACCAGUACCGUGAGGGAAAGGCGAAAAGAACCCCGGGAGGGGAGUGAAAUAGAACCUGAAACCGCAUGCAUACAAACAGUAGGAGCCUUUACGGAGGUGACUGCGUACCUUUUGCAUAAUGGGUCAGCGACUUACAUUCUGUGGCGAGCUUAACCGAAUAGGGGAGGCGCAGCGAAAGCGAGUUCGAAAUGAGCGUUCAGUCGCAGGGUGUAGACCCGAAACCAGAUGAGCUAUCCAUGGCCAGGUUGAAGGUGUGGUAACACACACUGGAGGACCGAACCGACUAGUGUUGCAAAAUUAGCGGAUGAGCUGUGGAUAGGGGUGAAAGGCCAAACAAAUCUGGAGAUAGCUGGUUCUCCCCGAAAACUAUUGAGGUAGUGCCUCGUGUGUCGCUCCAGGGGGUAGAGCACUGUUUUGGCUAGGGGGACAUGGAGUCUUACCAAACCAAGGCAAACUCCGAAUACCUGGAAGCGUAAGCACGGGAGACAGAGCACCGGGUGCUAACGUCCGGACUCAAAAGGGAAACAACCCAGACCGCCGGCUAAGGUCCCCAAUAACAGCUAAGUGGAAAACGAAGUGGAAAGGCCGUGACAACCAGGAAGUUGGCUUAGAAGCAGCCAUCCUUCAAAGAAAGCGUAAUAGCUCACUGGUCGAGUCCUUCUGCGCGGAAGAUGUAACGGGGCUAAGCUGUUAACCGAAGCCGCGGAUGCACUGGUUAUCCAGUGCGUGGUAGGGGAGCGUUCUGUAAGUCUGCGAAGGCGGUUCGAGAGGACUGCUGGAGAUAUCAGAAGUGCGAAUGCUGACAUGAGUAACGUUAAAGCAGGUGAAAAGCCUGCUCGCCGUAAGCCCAAGGAUUCCUGCUCUACGUUCAUCGGAGCAGGGUGAGUCGGCUCCUAAGGUCAGGCCGAAAGGCGUAGCCGAUGGGAAUCAGGUUAAUAUUCCUGAACCUGCGUCAGAUGCGAUGGGGGGACGGAGCAUGAAAGAUCAUCCGGGUGUUGGAUGUCCCGGUUGACGAGCGUAGGAGGUCUGCAGGCAAAUCCGCAGACGCAUCUCCAAGGCGAAGUCACGUGCCGCCACGGCGGCGAAGUGAUCGGAAGUGCUUCCAAGAAAAGCCUCUAAGCCCCAGUCUGACGCGGACCGUACCGCAAACCGACACUGGUGGGCGAGCUGAAUAUGCUCAGGCGCUUGAGAGAACUCGGGAGAAGGAACUCGGCAAAUUGACACCGUAACUUCGGGAGAAGGUGUGCCGUAGUACCGUGAGAGGAGAGACACCUUGAGCGGGAAUCGGUCUCAGAGAAUAGGUGGCUGCGACUGUUUAUUAAAAACACAGCACUCUGCAAAGUCGAAAGACGACGUAUAGGGUGUGAUGCCUGCCCGGUGCUGGAAGAUUAAUUGAUGGGGUGAGAGCCCUUGAUCGAAGUCCCAGUAAACGGCGGCCGUAACUAUAACGGUCCUAAGGUAGCGAAAUUCCUUGUC